UACGGAGGGGGCUAGCGUUGUUCGGAAUUACUGGGCGUAAAGCGCACGUAGGCGGGUCGUUAAGUCAGGGGUGAAAUCCCGGAGCUCAACUCCGGAACUGCCUUUGAUACUGGCGACCUUGAGGCUGGAAGAGGUUAGUGGAAUUCCCAGUGUAGAGGUGAAAUUCGUAGAUAUUGGGAAGAACACCAGUGGCGAAGGCGGCUAACUGGUCCAGAUCUGACGCUGAGGUGCGAAAGCGUGGGGAGCAAACAGG
Molecule: ribosomal RNA, 253 nt
Filed under: uncultured bacterium
Lineage: Bacteria
Description: partial 16S ribosomal RNA
Rfam family: Bacterial small subunit ribosomal RNA
Source: RNAcentral